This 84-nucleotide transfer RNA is filed under the name Jonquetella anthropi DSM 22815. It matches the Rfam family "tRNA". From Rfam's summary of the family: Transfer RNA (tRNA) molecules are approximately 80 nucleotides in length. Their secondary structure includes four short double-helical elements and three loops (D, anti-codon, and T loops). The record is from Rfam by way of RNAcentral. Lineage: Bacteria; Thermotogati; Synergistota; Synergistia; Synergistales; Dethiosulfovibrionaceae.
GCCCGGGUGGCGGAAUUGGUAGACGCGCUAGAUUCAGGUUCUAGUGGGCAUUAGCCUGUAGGAGUUCAAGUCUCCUCCUGGGCA